GACGAACGCUGGCGGCGUGGAUUAGGCAUGCAAGUCGGACGGUAGGGCUUUAUCGUAAGAUAGAGUUUGAGAGUGGCGAACGGGUGAGUAACACGUAGGAAUCUACCCUUAAGACGGGGACAACCCAGGGAAACUUGGGCUAAUACCGGAUGAGAGUGCGAGAGAUUGCAUUUAAAAGGAUGGCGAAAGUUGUCGCUUAGGGAUGAGCCUGCGGUCUAUUAGUUAGUUGGUGGGGUAAGAGCUCACCAAGGCGAUGAUAGAUAGGCGGCCUUAACGGGUGGUCGCCCACACUGGGAUUGAGAUACGGCCCAGACUCCUACGGGAGGCAGCAGUCGAGAAUAGUCUACAAUGGCCGGAAGGCUGAUAGUGCGACGCCGCGUGAACGAGGGAGCCCUUCGGGUGUAAAGUUCUUUUAUACGUGAGCAGUGCCCUUUAUAUGAAUAGUAUAUAUAGAGGGAUAGUAGUAUAGGAAUAAGCAACGGCUAACUCCGUGCCAGCAGCCGCGGUAAACAUA
RNAcentral lists this ribosomal RNA (514 nucleotides) under uncultured bacterium. RNAcentral's name for it is "bacterial SSU rRNA". It matches the Rfam family "Bacterial small subunit ribosomal RNA", at positions 28 to 529 of the family's 1533-position model. The record is from RNAcentral.